UGACAAGUGCGCUUUGAAGACGUCCCAAAGUAGCAACUUCUCUUUCCCGAAACCUUCAGGACGUCAAUGCCACACCUCAUUAACCCACUUCAAGCAACCGGCUUCGUCCAACCAGCAGCAUUCUUGAACAUAAACAACACCACCCUGCGGGAAUUUUCUGAGCAAUCUUUGUUUUUUGACUCAACACAAGAUCACGUCUAUUCAUAAAUCAGCAGGUACUGGUUCACAAAAUUUCCAGGUUCUGGAUCCAGCAAAGCUGAGUACCGGCAUGUGAGAUCUUGUGACCUUUUCUGGUUAAAUCAAAAACCUCUACAAAAGGGGUCGGCUUAUACAAAGGGAAAGCACCAAUGCCAACCCUUGUUGUGUAGGCCUUCACCACUCCGUACACUUCCCCAACAUUCUGAGGAGGGAUUCCCAGCCCUGUGCACACACCACCCACUGUGCAGUUCGAUGAUGUCACAAAAGGCUAUAGAACCUGGGCCUCUGUACCUCCCUCUGCAAAUGGAACUUCAACUGCCUAGCCAGAAGACCGCAACUGUGCAGAUUGGAAAUAACAUCUCCACCUCGCAGACAAGCAACACUUGUACACCACAGGGAUGUGUGCUUAGCCCACUGCGUUAUUCUUUCUAUACCCAUGACUGUAUGGUUAGGCAUAUCUCAAACCAUAUCUAGAACUUUGCUGAUGGUAUAACCAUUGUUGGCAGAAUUUCAGAUGGUGAUGAGAGGACAUACAGGAGCAAGAUAUACCAGUUAGUUGAGUGGUGUCACAGCAACAACAUUGCACUCACUGUCAGCAAGAUUGAAAAGCUGAUUGUGGACUUCAGGAAGGGCAAGACAAGGGAACACAAAUCAAUCCUCAUAGAGGGAUCAGAAGUGGAGCAAGUGAGCAAUUUAAAGUUCCUGGGAGUCAAUAUCUCUAAGGACUGAACCUGGACACAAGCUAUAUUUCAUUAGGAGUUCAAAGAGAUUUUGUUUGUUCAAUAAAUCACUUGAAACCUUCUGCAAAUGUACUGUUGAGAGGAUCCUGACUGGCUGCAUCACCAUCUGGUAUGGGUGGGGGGGGGGGGGGGCCUACUGCACAAGAUCAGAAUAAGUUGCAGAAAUUUUCCAGCUCUAUUACGGGUACCAGCCUCCAAGGAGCGGUGUCUUAGGAAGGUGGCGUCCAUCAUUAAGGAUCCCCAACAACCAGGACAUGCCCUCUUCACAGGGUUACCAUCAGGAAAUGAGGUACAGAACCUUGAAGGCACAUACUCAACGAUUCAGGAACAGCUUCUUCCUCUCUGCCAUCCAAUUUCUAAAUGGACAAUGAACCCAUGAACACCACCUUACUGCAUUUUUGUUAUUUUGCACCACUUUUUUUUAAACUUAAGUAUUUAAUAGACAUAUAUAUACUCAACAUAACUCCGUUUUUUCCUCUAUAUUUCUCAUGUAUUACAUUGUACUGCUGCUGCAAAGUUAACAAAUGUCACAACAUAUGUCAGUAAUAUUAAAUCUGAUUGUGAUAUUUUUUGUACAGACUAAAUUUAUCUUUCAAAGCCUCAACCCAGAGGGCAAGUUCCCUGCUAACCCAAAAUGAACAAAGGUGUCACAGUUCAUUUCCUGAACAAUGAAAACAACAUUCCGCUCAUAUUUCUGCAGCUAAGCUGGAUUCCAGCAACUGAGCAACUUAGAUGGGAAACAAAAACAAUAAAUUCUGGAAAUAAAUAAGACAGGGUGGCCAAUCUUUUACAUUCCAUGCGUCACUCUUUUUACGCACGAUUUCAGAUACACCAUACAACUCCUGUACCCCCAUUCAAUUCUUGUAAAAAUGUUAUAGACAUAUUUAGCAUUCUUACAUACUAUAUUGAUUUAAUAUAAAAACAAGAUCAACAUUACUUAGAAACACAAAAUGCUGGCAGA
Hypanus sabinus (Atlantic stingray) is the source of this 1899-nucleotide long non-coding RNA. RefSeq lists it as uncharacterized. The transcript is spliced from 4 exons. Lineage: Eukaryota; Metazoa; Chordata; Chondrichthyes; Myliobatiformes; Dasyatidae. The record is from RefSeq and is a predicted model, not a curated record.